GUGGCAGCCGCCGCGGUAAAACCAGCACCUCAAGUGGUCAGGAGGAUUAUUGGGCCUAAAGCAUCCGUAGCCUGUUCUAUAAGUUUCCGGUUAAAUCCAUUAGCUCAACUAAUGGGCCGCCGAAAAUACUGUAGAACUAGGGAGUGGGAGAGGUAGACGGUAUUCGGUAGGAAGGGGUAAAAUCCUUUGAUCUAUUGAGGACCACCUGUGGCGAAGGCGGUCUACCAGAACACGUUCGACGGUGAGGGAUGAAAGCUGGGGGAGCAAACCGGAUUAGAUACCCGGGUAGUCCCAGCUGUAAACGAUGCAGACUCGGUGAUGCGCUGGCUUGUGGCCAGUGCAGUGCCGCAGGGAAGCCGUUAAGUUUGCCGCCUGGGAAGUACGUACGCAAGUAUGAAACUUAAAGGAAUUGGCGGGGGAGCACCACAAGGGGUGAAGCCUGCGGUUCAAUUGGAGUCAACGCCAGAAAUCUUACCCGAAGAGACAGCAGAAUGAAGGUCAAGCUGGAGACUUUACCAGACAAGCUGAGAAGUGGUGCAUGGCCGUCGCCAGCUCGUGCCGUGAGAUGUCCUGUUAAGUCAGGUAACGAGCGAGAUCCCUGCCUCUAGUUGCCACCAUUACUCUCAGGAGUAGUGGGGCGAAUUAGCGGGACCGCCGCAGUUAAUGCGGAGGAAGGAAGGGGCCACGGCAGGUCAGUAUGCCCUGAAACUUUGGGGCCACACGCGGGCUGCAAUGGUAGUGACAAUGGGUUCCGAAUCCGAAAGGAGGAGGCAAUCCUCAAACGCUACCACAGUUAUGAUUGAGGGCUGCAACUCGCCCUCAUGAAUAUGGAAUCCCUAGUAACUGCGUGUCAUUACCGCGCAGUGAAUACGUCCCUGCUCCUUGCACACACCGCCCGUC
This 900-nucleotide ribosomal RNA is filed under the name uncultured archaeon. RNAcentral's name for it is "bacterial SSU rRNA". It matches the Rfam family "Archaeal small subunit ribosomal RNA", at positions 455 to 1354 of the family's 1478-position model. The record is from RNAcentral.